ACAGCGCGCAUAUACUCCUCUUCCGCGCAGUUCUCGCAAUUCUCCCGUCUGACACUCGACGUUAAAUAUGAUCACGACGAUUUUUCACCGGGACUGAAAUUUGCAAGGAGCAAAAGGAAUACUCAAUAUUCCGAAGAGCGAACUUCUCUGCUUUUGAUGCAUGAUUACACGGACCGUAUACAUUCCAUUAGGCGCGAGAGGGUUAACCCGAGUCGUCCGACAACUGACCGAUCAGGAUUCCACGCAGGAAUGGGAAACACCGGAUUAAGCCCCGAUGAAUCCGUCGCCGGAACGGUUAAUAUUCAGUCUAGCUUCCGUAAACAUGACGAAGAAAUCGAUCGGCGCGACGUGUUGCUUCCGUGGUGCCUGCCGUCGUGCGUUUGCGUCGUGAUUAUUUUUUACGUGAACGCGGAAACGCGAGACACGUCCGCGGAGACGUCUACGUCGGAGUUAGUCUCGGGAUGUUUCCUGCUCAACGUCCCGUGUUUCUAUGUUCGUUCGGUAAUGCCAUCGUUGCGGAAAUUAAUCUCCGAGGGACAGACGACCUUUUUUUCUCCCGCUCGCUCGCAGUUUUAGCCGGUGUACUCGCUUUUUCCCCUCGAUAACGUAACCGGCGAAAAUUACACGACAACCGGGAAGGAUCACGCAAAAGAUGUAUUGCGUACGGCGUGUCGUCUCGAUCUCGUCGAUCGGUCGCGUGCGAUUCGUGACUCCCCGAUCGUUUUCUCACCUGAUAUUGCCGAUAUCUUCGCCCGCUGAAUCAGAUUGAGUUGCUUUCUAUCGUUUCGAUCGGAUCGUCCGUUGAAUGCGCGAUUUCACGAUCUUUCCCACCGUGAUGUGUCACGUGAGUCUUGAUUUAUCGCUCGACAAAAGAGAGCCUAAUUCGACAAUGUACUGUUUCACGACGCAUGACACAUGCAGCGGAUAUAAUGAGGAUGAAAUUUGCGUCGCAAAGAAAGUGAAAGAAGCAAAAGUUGGUUUUCAAAGCCGAAUGUGAUAAAAAAGAAAACGAGAGGGGAAAGAGAGAGAAUUGUUUUACUCACAUUACAUUUUAUAUUUCGACGUUAAAUAGGUUUACGAAUAAAGAAAUACAAUUCCAGAAUUUAUAAGCUGGAGUCGCUGGUUUUAUCUCCAGCGAGUCUUUCACUAAUCACGCGUGUCGUCACUAUCGUCGUCGUCGUCGUUGCAGACGACAGAUUCAGCGUUUUCGCGUAUCGGCACGCUCGCUGAUAACGGAGUUCGAGUCCAAUAUAACUUGGCCGAGUUUAGAUUUCAGGCUGGUGAGGUCAAAAUGGAAGCAAUAAGUUGCGAUAGCUCGGGAAAGGAAGAAAAGUAAAAGUAAGCUCACGACAAACCAGCGCAACUGUGAUACCGCGGCGUUAUCUCGAGGGAAUGAUUUUCAACUAUUAGCGUGUGUCUACCAACGCAAAGAUCUCAUUUUCUUAACGCGGCGCUACAAUAAAUCAACAGGUAAUGCUAUUUUGGACAGAUGCGCUAUUCAGCUACGUUUGCUCGCAUAACUGGUUUCAAAAGCCCUGGUCAAGCUGCCCAACAGUGCUCGGUUAUCCCUGCAGGCUAUGCCAGGAACACAGUCGACACGUCGUUACUCCGUCCGCGAACAGCAUGUGGGUUUUAUGCGAUUUUAUACGCGCAAUUACCGUGGAAAUCUGUGAGCUCGAACGCUGCCGCAUCUCGUACCCUCGUAAUUAAUCCCAUGUAACCCUUAACAAGGAAGGGAGAGACCUUCCGCGGCUUUGUAAGUAAUUAUUUUUGGAAUUCCUGUCGUGAACGCAGAAACCCAGUAGGAGUAUAACGAAGCGAUCUGAACGUGACUUUUGAGAAAACGACGCGUUUAAAAUUUUACCUCUACCGGUCAGAAUUAAUACGAAAGCUGUGCCUCGACAAUGAUGUUACGCACAAUGCAAUUUUCUAUUCAUCUUUCGACAAAUAUGCUGUAAAAAAUAACAUGUCUUUCUUAUUAUAUACAUGACAUCAUUGAUCCCUAAGUUUUUUUAUAAGACACCUCGAACUGUCGACAUGUGCAAUUUGCGCGCUUCUGACUUUUCUCGUAAAAAAUCAAUGCGAUUUACGUCUACACAUGCACUAUGUAAUAUGACGCUCUGUGAGCUUGGUUUGUUCACUCACUAUUUCGCGUCGAUAUCCAACGUUGAUGUCCAGCCGUUCACAUCCAUCGAUGAAGCCUGCCGCUGUAUCCCCCUGUAUUUUCAACAGUCUCUGUAGCGUCCAGUUACGUUCCACGUCGAACGUACUUCACUCACUUCACUUUACUGUAUUGUUCUCGCGACCGCCACAAUUUUAACGGCGAUUUAAACGAUUAGACGAUUUAUCAAACAAUUUAACGAUGUAAGUGCGAUUCACUGAUUUUAAUGAUUUAACGAAAAGUACGCGAUAAAUUUCAGUGCUUUGAGAAUAUACUCUCGAUUUGCGAGUCGCGUGUAAAAGAUCACGGCGCUCUUAAAUAAAUAUCGUCGAUAUUAUUUUAACGAGGUCUACAAAGAAAAAAGAAAUAUUCCGUUUCACAGACGAUUGUACUUAUCGAAAAAUGAGUUUUCUCUAUUUCACAAGAAUUAUAAUUUUUAAAAACAACAGCAUAAAUAUACGUCGAGCAAAACAACAAAUAAAAUGAAAUUUAGCCUUAACUUCCGCGGAAAUGAUAUAUAGCGUCACAUAUGAAAUAUUUGGGAAACCGAUGACCGCAAUGAUCACAAAAUUGAUCGCAAACGAAGUAUGUAAACACAAAUUCCGUGUCUGGUGGUACAAUUCUGAUGCACAUUUUAUAUUGCCCGAAAUAAUUAGUGGAUCACAAUGAAUGAAUACAAUUCCACUGAAUAAUCUUACAUUUUAAGUAAAAUAUAAUAAGUGCCGAAACGUUUAUAUAAGCUCAUUAAAGAUUAAGAGAUUAAAAAUAAUAUAAAGAGUAUCGUAAAGAGAUACUUUGGACAUAUGCAAGAAAAUAUUUUUAAGAAAAAAGUAUUGAAUAGUUCAAAUAUUUAUGAAAAUUAAAAGAAGUGUGUUCUCUUGAUUGCUUCGAGCAAUAUGAUACUUUGAUAGACGACACAACACAUACAUGCAAAAAUCUACAACUUAAGUAAAUAGCAUUGAUUUCGACUAUAUUAUUUAAACACCUGUCACUAGAAUAUCCAUCAGUCUCAUUUUUCAUACACAUAUUUCUGACUCACCGAAAUACCAGGAACUCAGAGUCGGUCGCGUUCCGCUACAGAUCUGAAAUAAAAAAUAUAGGUUCUCUGAUAAGAGAUACAAUAUUUAAUGGCUUGACGAGAAAAAUUCCCGUAGAUAUCAGCGUGGCAACUUUCUGCGACUAUUGUAGCUCAAUAUUUUUAGUCACGAUUAAAAACUACGAUUUUUAUCUUGUA
Molecule: long non-coding RNA, 3395 nt
Organism: Odontomachus brunneus
Lineage: Eukaryota; Metazoa; Arthropoda; Insecta; Hymenoptera; Formicidae
Exons: 2
Source: RefSeq, a predicted model, not a curated record